This 278-nucleotide non-coding RNA is filed under the name Ipomoea nil (Japanese morning glory). Its description in RNAcentral is "Eukaryotic large subunit ribosomal RNA". It matches the Rfam family "Eukaryotic large subunit ribosomal RNA", at positions 3121 to 3401 of the family's 3401-position model. The record is from Rfam by way of RNAcentral. Lineage: Eukaryota; Viridiplantae; Streptophyta; Magnoliopsida; Solanales; Convolvulaceae.
UGAACGCCUCUAAGUCAGAAUCCGGGCUAGACCGACGCAUCGCUCGUCGCGCCGUUUGCCGACCCGCAGUAGGGGCCAUUUGGCCCCCAAGGGCACGUGUCGUUGGCUAAGCCGUCGUGGCGGAAGGGUCACGGUGGCCGCCUUGAAUUACAAUUCCGAUCGAGCGGCGAGCUGAAUCCUUUGCAGACGACUUAAAUACGCGACGGGGUAUUGUAAGGGGUAGAGUGGCCUUGCUGCCACGAUCCUCUGAGAUUCAGCCCUUUGUCGCUCCGAUUCGU